Molecule: transfer RNA, 74 nt
Filed under: Beta vulgaris subsp. vulgaris (sugar beet)
Lineage: Eukaryota; Viridiplantae; Streptophyta; Magnoliopsida; Caryophyllales; Amaranthaceae
Rfam family: tRNA
About the family: Transfer RNA (tRNA) molecules are approximately 80 nucleotides in length. Their secondary structure includes four short double-helical elements and three loops (D, anti-codon, and T loops).
Source: Rfam by way of RNAcentral
AGGGAUGUAGCGCAGCUUGGUAGCGCGUUUGUUUUGGGUACAAAAUGUUAUGGGUUCAAAUCCUGUCAUCCCUA